AUAGCCUGACACUUCCCUGGUGGCACACAUAAGCCUCUUGGUCCAAGUGUUCUGCUUCACCUCUCUGCUUGGAAGGAGAUAGGACCCUCAUAUUGAAAACUGAGAAGAAUGAUGGGAUUGUGGUCAUAAGCCUGCAGUGGACUUAUAAACUAUAAGAGAUUGGUGGUGAGCAGGUGACAACUGAGGAAGGAAAACUGACGGUGACCUACAUUUCAGGACUCAUGUGUGGCUUCUGGGUGUGUUUUUCAUCUGUUCUCUGAUAAAUUCUUCUUCUUUUUUUUUUUUAGUUGUAAUUGGACACAAUACCUUUAUUUUAUUUAUUUUUAUGUGGUGCUGAGGAUGGAACACAGGGCCUUGCACGUGCUAGGCGAGUGCUCUACCGCUGAGCCACAACCUCAGCCCUGAUAAAUUCUUCUUAAGAAUCAGUCCAUCAAAAAUUGGCUCAUAUUUAAUAAGCAUCAACUAGAAACCAAAGACCAGCAUAUCCUGGAAUUCAUAAGACUUCAAAGAUCCCACAACAAUUUUAUUUUCCUCUCAUUUGCCUUCAUCUCGCACAGCCCUCAGCCAGUCUCUGUGUAAUAAACACCUCUGGUGAUUAAUAAUACUUAAAGCCUUGAAGUUAUUUCAAGAUAUAAUCAGAGAAUAAAUUCUUAGUUCCCAAGGAAUGACCAAACAUUCUUAAGCUCCAGGUAGGAAUCUUGGAUCCCAAUACAGUAUUCAUCUUUAUCCCUGGUUCAAGGAAUGACCAAAUAUUUCUAAGCUGGUGGUAGGAACAUUUUUCCUGUUUCCAACAUUUAACUUUGAAUUCUUGAAAUAGUGUCACUCCCAUAAGUCAGAGGUUAGAGAACAUUUUAAAAUGCUUUUAACAGAACAGGUUAUGCCUUAAACUGAAUCACCGCUUCACCUUAAAUGUCCCUCAGCUGCCUGAGAUGACUUCCUGUGCCUGCAUUUAGUCUCUGGCUAAGGCCACAGUGGACACAGCUUUGGCUCUUUCCCAGGUUGAGGCUUCUCUGGCUGAAGGUGUACCUCUUGCUUAGGCGCUUCUGCCUGGAGAAUAUUUGGAACAUUUUAGGUGUCCUUUCCGUUCCCAUUUUAGUUAAGUCUUUCUGUAGUAAAAUGAUAAUAAAAUAAUUCCAGUGUCCUCCUGUUCUGAAGACCUAUAAACUGUGCUGGGUAGAGGCACUUUCCAAAGUAAGACUAGCUGCUGGUCAGCAUAUGAAAUGUGUGGGUAAUGGACCGUAGCACAAGAUAGUAUGAUUUAAUUUGAGCCUGUUAGGAACAAGGGUGAAGGAUGUAGCUCAAUGGUAGAGAACUUGCCUAGCACAUGUGAUGCCCUGGGUUCCAUCCUCAGCACUUAAAAAAAGAAAAGGAACAAGACUUCCCAUUCUGAUCAUUUCCUAUAAAUGAAGCUCAAGGUCCUGUCUGAGAUAGAAGAACACCUGCCUUCCCCCGCAUAUCCCGGUAUUCAUAAGACUUCAAAGAUCCCAUAACAAUUUUAUUUUCUUCUCAUCAGGGGUUGGGAAAUGUGGCGCUCACCUCCCUUCCGCCACUGGGCUUGGACAGCGGUUAAUUUUAAGGCAGAUUUGAAGGCAGUGUUUUCAGCUUUGGAGGCACUUUAGAAUCACCUGGAAAAACUCUGGACACC
Molecule: long non-coding RNA, 1645 nt
Filed under: Marmota monax (woodchuck)
Lineage: Eukaryota; Metazoa; Chordata; Mammalia; Rodentia; Sciuridae
Source: RNAcentral